Molecule: long non-coding RNA, 812 nt
Organism: Herpailurus yagouaroundi (jaguarundi)
Lineage: Eukaryota; Metazoa; Chordata; Mammalia; Carnivora; Felidae
Exons: 3
Source: RefSeq, a predicted model, not a curated record
CGAACUUGGACGCUCCACCGACUGACCCACCCAGGCACCCAACAGAGUGGUUUCGAGAAAAUUUAAAGCCACCGACGUGGCUUGUUCUAGGCGAUUCUGAGGCACAUUGACAUAUGAGGACAGCGCCCUACCAGCUUAGGGCUUGGAGAAGCUUGAGGGACACCAGGAAUCAUUUCCAGGAGAGGCGGGCCGCGAGCCACAGGCCAGGAGAAUGAAGGUCUGAUUCCCUGCAAGGACCAGAGGCGGAGGCACAGAUUUCAAGAGCGAAUCCUUCAAGCAUUAGAAGAAAGAAACCCAGACUUUCGCAGCUGCAAACGUGUUCAGUGCAGCAUGUGGCUCCCAAAGUCCGAGACGGAGAAGCCGAAGGACCGGCCAGCCCAGGACGGCCCGUUUUUCUGUGGACCGCUCCCUGUUCGGAACCAAUUUUGUGGAAUCUUCUGGCUGGCAGCGUUAUGUUCUCGAAGGACAGUGAGUGGGGCAGAACAGGUUAAGAGCAAGCCAAAGUCUUUCAGGUCGGAGGUUCUGGCUCUACGAAGCUCGGUGGUGGGGCCGACGUUCCCAACUAAGCUGAGCCUGCAAUUUGGAAGGGAUCCUAGGUUUGCAUUGUCCCAAACCGUAUGUAUGAGAGUUUUCCAGGGAAACAGAACCAGGAGGCUGGGCAUUUGUAGAGAGAUUUAUUUUAAGUAAUUGGCUCAUGUGAUUAUGGAGCCUGACAAGUCCAAACUCUUCAGGGUGGGCUGUCAGGCUGAAGGCUCUGGAGAGCUGAUGUUGAAGUUCAAGGCCAGAAGACGGUCUCAUGCAGAACUCCCUCU